AAGUCGUAACAAGGUUUCCGUAGGUGAACCUGCGGAAGGAUCAUUAACACGUAUCCACGUAUCAACCAAUGAGAACCUGUUUUCCCGUCUCCCUGUGCAAAGAAUGAAUUGGAACCAGUUUGAGGGAGUGAUGGGACCGAAAGGUCGGCCUUCCUGGUACACUUACGUAAAUAGAAAUGUUUGCGUAGACAAUUGUAUUUUUGUUACAGGCUAUUUCUUAUCGCUUUGAUCCCCAUCAUGAUCGUGGCGGUAGGGAAACUUUCACUAAAUUUACCUUUUUUGCUAGUUGACUUUUUAUAUGUGUUGUCUUGCGAAAGCAUGGUGGCACACGUUUAUUAAUUGAACGUUAAAAAAUACAACUCUUAGCAAUGGAUAUCUUGGUUCUC
This 386-nucleotide unclassified non-coding RNA is filed under the name fungal sp. RNAcentral's name for it is "partial internal transcribed spacer region". The stretch from base 1 to 46 matches the Rfam family "Eukaryotic small subunit ribosomal RNA", at positions 1786 to 1831 of the family's 1831-position model. The record is from RNAcentral. Lineage: Eukaryota; Fungi.